AACGAACGCUGGCGGCAUGCCUAACACAUGCAAGUCGAACGUGAUCCGGGGCUUGCUCCGGUGAAAGUGGCGGACGGGUGAGUAACGCGUGGGAACCUGCCCUUUGGUCGGGGAUAACUGCGGGAAACUGCGGCUAAUACCCGAUGUACCCGAGAGGGGAAAGAUUUAUCGCCGAAGGAUGGGGCCCGCGUCGGAUUAGGGUAGUUGGUGGGGUAAACGGCCUACCAAGCCUUCGAUCCGUAGCUGGUCUGAGAGGAUGAUCAGCCACACUGGGACUGAGAUACGGCCCAGACUCCUACGGGAGGCAGCAGUGGGGAAUAUUGGACAAUGGGCGCAAGCCUGAUCCAGCAAUGCCGCGUGAGUGAAGAAGGCCUUAGGGUUGUAAAGCUCUUUCGGCGGGGACGAUGAUGACGGUACCCGCAGAGAAGCCCCGGCUAACUCCGUGCCAGCAGCCGCGGUAAUGCACGACUG
RNAcentral lists this ribosomal RNA (471 nucleotides) under uncultured bacterium. RNAcentral's name for it is "bacterial SSU rRNA". It matches the Rfam family "Bacterial small subunit ribosomal RNA", at positions 29 to 531 of the family's 1533-position model. The record is from RNAcentral.